UACUAAGCUAUAUUAACUAGGAAAAGGUAUUCUUAAGUACAAAAUAAUUUUAAGUUGUAACCUCAUUAUUACUACAAUGGCAGAUGACGAAGAUAAGAAAGAAGUUGAUGAGUCUGACACCAGACCAGAAUUUUUUUGGAACUAUCUUAACAAAACAAUGCGAUUAAAAUUAGAUAAAUGGACCAAGCUGAUAACAACUAAUGAAUACAAGGACCAUCAACUGAACCAAUAUAUUAUAUACGUUUGGGUUAUUUAAGCUACGUCAUAGUGUCACGUAAGCCCUUCAAAAAGUGUACGCGGCUAUGUAUGCUGUCUUGAUUCGCAACCC
Long non-coding RNA from Drosophila montana, 328 nucleotides. RefSeq lists it as uncharacterized. Lineage: Eukaryota; Metazoa; Arthropoda; Insecta; Diptera; Drosophilidae. The transcript is spliced from 3 exons. The record is from RefSeq and is a predicted model, not a curated record.